This is a non-coding RNA of Otolemur garnettii (small-eared galago), 302 nucleotides long. Lineage: Eukaryota; Metazoa; Chordata; Mammalia; Primates; Galagidae. The record is from Rfam.
GCUGGAUGCAGUGGUGGGCGCCUGUAGUCCCAGCUACUGGGGAGGCUGAGACAGAAGGAUCACUUGAGUCCAGGAGUUUUGGGCCCUAGUGCACCAUGCCAAUCAGUGUCUGCACUGUUUGGCAUCAAUAUGCCAACCUCCUGGGAGCAUGGGGCCACCAGGUUGCCUCAGGAAGGGUCAACUGGCCCAGGUCAGAAACAGAGCAGGUCAAAACUCCCGUGCUGAUCAGUAGUGGAACUGCACCUGUAAAUACCCAGCUGUAAAUACUCCAGCCUGGGCAACACGGCGAGACUCCAUCUCAA